RNAcentral lists this ribosomal RNA (468 nucleotides) under uncultured bacterium. RNAcentral's name for it is "partial 16S ribosomal RNA". It matches the Rfam family "Bacterial small subunit ribosomal RNA", at positions 28 to 507 of the family's 1533-position model. The record is from RNAcentral.
GACGAACGCUGGCGGCGUGCUUAACACAUGCAAGUCGAACGGAAAGGCCCUGCUUUUGCGGGGUGCUCGAGUGGCGAACGGGUGAGUAACACGUGAGUAACCUGCCCUUGACUGUGGGAUAACUUCAGGCAACUGGGGCUAAUACCGGCUAGGAGCUCCUGCUGCAGGGGGGGGGUUGGAAAGUUUCGGCGGUUGUAGAUGGACUCGGGGCUUAUUAGCUUGUUGGUGGGGUAGCUGCUUACCAAGGCUUUGACGGGUAGGCGGCCUGGGAGGGUGACCGGCCACCAGGGGACUGAGGUACGGACCAGACUGGUACGGGAGGCAGCAGGGGGAAGUCUGGCACAAUGGGGGGAAGCCUGUGGCGGCAACGCUGCGUGCGGGAUGAAGGCCUUCGGGUGGGGAACCGCUUUCGCCUGUGACGAAGCGGGAUUGACGGUAAUGGGUAAAGAAGCACCGGCUAACUACGUG